GACGAACGCUGGCGGCGUGCCUAACACAUGCAAGUCGAGCGAAUGAAGUUCCUUCGGGAAUGGAUUUAGCGGCGGACGGGUGAGUAACACGUGGGCAACCUGCCUCAUAGAGGGGAAUAGCCUCCCGAAAGGGAGAUUAAUACCGCAUAAGAUUGUAGUACCGCAUGAUACAGCAAUUAAAGGAGCAAUCCGCUAUGAGAUGGGCCCGCGGCGCAUUAGCUAGUUGGUGAGGUAAUGGCUCACCAAGGCGACGAUGCGUAGCCGACCUGAGAGGGUGAUCGGCCACAUUGGGACUGAGACACGGCCCAGACUCCUACGGGAGGCAGCAGUGGGGAAUAUUGCACAAUGGGGGAAACCCUGAUGCAGCAACGCCGCGUGAGUGAUGACGGCCUUCGGGUUGUAAGGCUCUGUCUUCAGGGACGAUAAUGACGGUACCUGAGGAGGAAGCCACGGCUAACUACGUG
Molecule: ribosomal RNA, 464 nt
Filed under: uncultured bacterium
Lineage: Bacteria
Description: partial 16S ribosomal RNA
Rfam family: Bacterial small subunit ribosomal RNA
Source: RNAcentral